GGACGGGGGAUCUUAGGACCUCUCGCUACAGGGGCGGCCGAUGGCAGAUUAGCUAGUUGGUGGGGUAAAGGCCUACCAAGGCGACGAUCUGUAGCUGGUCUGAGAGGACGACCAGCCACACUGGGACUGAGACACGGCCCAGACUCCUACGGGAGGCAGCAGUGGGGAAUUUUGGACAAUGGGGGCAACCCUGAUCCAGCAAUGCCGCGUGUGUGAAGAAGGCCUUCGGGUUGUAAAGCACUUUUGUCCGGAAAGAAAACGCUCUGGUUAAUACCCGGGGCGGAUGACGGUACCGGAAGAAUAAGCACCGGCUAACUACGUGCCAGCAGCCGCGGUAAUACGUAGGGUGCAAGCGUUAAUCGGAAUUACUGGGCGUAAAGCGUGCGCAGGCGGUCCGCUAAGACAGAUGUGAAAUCCCCGGGCUUAACCUGGGAACUGCAUUUGUGACUGGCGGG
This 455-nucleotide ribosomal RNA is filed under the name uncultured Burkholderia sp. RNAcentral's name for it is "bacterial SSU rRNA". It matches the Rfam family "Bacterial small subunit ribosomal RNA", at positions 191 to 640 of the family's 1533-position model. The record is from RNAcentral. Lineage: Bacteria; Pseudomonadati; Pseudomonadota; Betaproteobacteria; Burkholderiales; Burkholderiaceae.